Molecule: ribosomal RNA, 922 nt
Filed under: uncultured bacterium
Lineage: Bacteria
Description: bacterial SSU rRNA
Rfam family: Bacterial small subunit ribosomal RNA
Source: RNAcentral
AGAGUUUGAUCCUGGCUCAGGAUGAACGCUAGCGGCAGGCUUAACACAUGCAAGUCGAGGGGUAUAGUAGCAAUACUAGAGACCGGCGCACGGGUGCGUAACGCGUAUGCAAUCUACCUUUUGCAGAGGGAUAGCCCAGAGAAAUUUGGAUUAAUACCUCAUAGUAUAGUACAAUCGCAUGAUUGAACUAUUAAAGUCACAACGGCAAAAGAUGAGCAUGCGUCCCAUUAGCUUGUUGGUAGGUAACGGCUUACCAAGGCAACGAUGGGUAGGGGUCCUGAGAGGGAGAUCCCCCACACUGGUACUGAGACACGGACCAGACUCCUACGGGAGGCAGCAGUGAGGAAUAUUGGACAAUGGGCGCAAGCCUGAUCCAGCCAUGCCGCGUGCAGGAUGACGGUCCUAUGGAUUGUAAACUGCUUUUGCACAGGAAGAAACACCCCUACGUGUAGGGACUUGACGGUACUGUGAGAAUAAGGAUCGGCUAACUCCGUGCCAGCAGCCGCGGUAAUACGGAGGAUCCAAGCGUUAUCCGGAAUCAUUGGGUUUAAAGGGUCCGUAGGCGGUCUUAUAAGUCAGUGGUGAAAUCUCCCCGUUCAACGGGGAAACGGCCAUUGAUACUGUAAGACUUGAAUUAUUAGGAAGUAACUAGAAUAUGUAGUGUAGCGGUGAAAUGCUUAGAGAUUACAUGGAAUACCAAUUGCGAAGGCAGGUUACUACUAAUAGAUUGACGCUGAUGGACGAAAGCGUGGGUAGCGAACAGGAUUAGAUACCCUGGUAGUCCACGCCGUAAACGAUGGAUACUAGCUGUUGGGAGCAAUCUCAGUGGCUAAGCGAAAGUGAUAAGUAUCCCACCUGGGGAGUACGUUCGCAAGAAUGAAACUCAAAGGAAUUGACGGGGGCCCGCACAAGCGGUGGAGCA